Molecule: non-coding RNA, 1332 nt
Organism: Equus caballus (horse)
Lineage: Eukaryota; Metazoa; Chordata; Mammalia; Perissodactyla; Equidae
Source: RefSeq, a predicted model, not a curated record
UGGCCGGGAGGAAGCAGGAAACCCCCUCUCAGCCCUGCCCCAGGCCCAUCCUGGGGUUUCCUUCUCACCACAGGGAGUGGUCUGAAGGCAUGAACAAGGCAAGCCCAAUCUAAAUCAAAGCUUCCAUUUCUCAUGUGAUUCACAGCGUCUUCCCUCCCUAUCCCCGUGGGACUGACCCCGCCAUUGUGGAAGAGGGUGGGUUCCAUUCCUUCCCAUUCCUGCUCACCUCUUCGCUGCCUCCCAAUGUGGGUCUCCCCAACCCCACCCUGCUGGGGACAGGGAGGGGCAUGACUGAAAGGGGCAAAGUGGCCUUGAUGCCCACCACGUGACAUCUUUGCCUCCACGUCCCCUGCCCUCCACGGCAGCCCAAAGGCCCUCUGCAAUGUCUCUGCUCCUGACCUUGGCGGGGCACCCACCCCCAGCUCUCUCUCCUGGGGCCUCCCACCCUUGCAGGCAGCCCUCCUGGCUUGUUUCUUUCUCGAUGGCCUCAGAGGUGUGCUCUUGGCCCUUGAGCCAAACAGGCCCGACCUGCCUGGCUGGGGGGGUGUGGGGGUGUGUGGUGUGAGACGGCAGGCCACGCCCUUCCUCCUUGCCCUGCAUCAGUGGGCUCCACGGCCUCACCCUCAGCUCCAUGCACCCUCUUCAGCCCUUGUGUCAGGCUCCCUCAAGAACUCUCCUUUCCCACUUGGAAGCAGCGAGGGGAGGCCCACCAGGAGGAUCUUGGGCCCAAAUCCCAUCCAUGUGGGAGCCAGCUGAACUCGGGAGCCGUUCCCAGGGAAGUGACGUGCCACAGCCGCCCCCAGCCUUGGGCCUCCCUGCUUGAUACACUCAACUGGGGGCAACGGAGCAAAUUCCAAGACAAAGUUUCGAGAACAAUGAUUCAGAGGCUCGUAGAGGACAUUUAUGGGCCCUCCUUCCUAGGCGCAGGCCUCCGGCCCGGGACACCGCCCGCAGUUCCCGCUUCGGAAGUGCCCAGCGCGCGGCGCCCGGACUGCUCCGCCCCCCGCAGCCCCUCCGUCCACGCCCGGCUCCUCCUCCUCCUCCUCCUUCCCGGGGGUUGGGGAGCCGGCUCCGGAAGCCCUGGCGCCCCCGCCCCGGCCGCCACUGGAGCUUUGGAGAGGGCGGUCCGCGCGGGAGCGUGCCUCGCGGGGCCGGAGCUCCCAGCCGCCGCCAGCGCCUCGGAACCCCCGGACCACCCCUGAGCUCCCACCGACCCCUGAGCCGCUGCCUGGCUCCGAAGCCCCUGCGCCUCGCCCCAGAGCCCCCCGCCUGCCCCUCCCCGGAGCCUCCCGCGCCCCAUCCCGGAGGCCCUCGCCCGCCCUCCCAGAGCCC